Molecule: ribosomal RNA, 830 nt
Filed under: Bacillus siamensis
Lineage: Bacteria; Bacillati; Bacillota; Bacilli; Caryophanales; Bacillaceae
Description: bacterial SSU rRNA
Rfam family: Bacterial small subunit ribosomal RNA
Source: RNAcentral
UUGCUCCCUGAUGUUAGCGGCGGACGGGUGAGUAACACGUGGGUAACCUGCCUGUAAGACUGGGAUAACUCCGGGAAACCGGGGCUAAUACCGGAUGGUUGUUUGAACCGCAUGGUUCAGACAUAAAAGGUGGCUUCGGCUACCACUUACAGAUGGACCCGCGGCGCAUUAGCUAGUUGGUGAGGUAACGGCUCACCAAGGCGACGAUGCGUAGCCGACCUGAGAGGGUGAUCGGCCACACUGGGACUGAGACACGGCCCAGACUCCUACGGGAGGCAGCAGUAGGGAAUCUUCCGCAAUGGACGAAAGUCUGACGGAGCAACGCCGCGUGAGUGAUGAAGGUUUUCGGAUCGUAAAGCUCUGUUGUUAGGGAAGAACAAGUGCCGUUCAAAUAGGGCGGCACCUUGACGGUACCUAACCAGAAAGCCACGGCUAACUACGUGCCAGCAGCCGCGGUAAUACGUAGGUGGCAAGCGUUGUCCGGAAUUAUUGGGCGUAAAGGGCUCGCAGGCGGUUUCUUAAGUCUGAUGUGAAAGCCCCCGGCUCAACCGGGGAGGGUCAUUGGAAACUGGGGAACUUGAGUGCAGAAGAGGAGAGUGGAAUUCCACGUGUAGCGGUGAAAUGCGUAGAGAUGUGGAGGAACACCAGUGGCGAAGGCGACUCUCUGGUCUGUAACUGACGCUGAGGAGCGAAAGCGUGGGGAGCGAACAGGAUUAGAUACCCUGGUAGUCCACGCCGUAAACGAUGAGUGCUAAGUGUUAGGGGGUUUCCGCCCCUUAGUGCUGCAGCUAACGCAUUAAGCACUCCGCCUGGGGAGUACGGUCGCAAGA